This 713-nucleotide ribosomal RNA is filed under the name uncultured Glomus. RNAcentral describes it as "eukaryotic LSU rRNA". It matches the Rfam family "Eukaryotic large subunit ribosomal RNA", at positions 58 to 628 of the family's 3401-position model. The record is from RNAcentral. Lineage: Eukaryota; Fungi; Glomeromycota; Glomeromycetes; Glomerales; Glomeraceae.
AAAGAAAAUAACAAUGAUUCCCCUAGUAACGGCGAGUGAAGAGGGAUUAGCUCAAAUUUAAAAUCUGCUGGGUUUACCUAUCAGAGUUGUAAUUUGAAGAGGCGUUUUCCGCGUCAUUGUUGGUCCAAAUCCUUUGGGAUAAGGUAUCAUGGAGGGUGAGAAUCCCGUCCGGCCGACAUCAUGAUGUUUUACGAUACGCUUUCAAAGAGUCGAGUUGUUUGGGAUUGCAGCUCAAAAUGGGAGGUGAAUUUCUCCUAAGGCUAAAUAUUGGCGAGAGACCGAUAGCGAACAAGUACCGUGAGGGAAAGAUGAAAAGAACUUUGAAAAGAGAGUUAAAAAGUACGUGAAAUUGUUGAAAGGGAAACGAUUGAAGUCAGUCGUACCGACGAGAAAUCAGCUUUUCGAAUGUGCAUUUGUGGGCGUAUGAGAUCUUCAUUGUUUGCAAUAUGCGUAUUUUUUUGGUGUACUUUUUCGUAUGGUAGGUCAACGUCGGUUUUGAUCGCCAUAAAAUGACCGGAGGAAUGUAGCUUCGGCUUCGGUUGAAGUGUUAUAGCCUUUGGUAAAUGUGGUGAUUAGGACCGAGGAUUGCAACGAAUACCUUUUAGGCUAUCCGUCUGACCUCUGAAAGUUACUUAGGUGCCGAAAGCUUGCUUACAGUCAUUUAAGUUGACGGUCAAAAGGUUAGAACGCGAUUACAUUCGUUAAGGACGUUG